This 634-nucleotide ribosomal RNA is filed under the name uncultured bacterium. RNAcentral describes it as "bacterial SSU rRNA". It matches the Rfam family "Bacterial small subunit ribosomal RNA", at positions 9 to 655 of the family's 1533-position model. The record is from RNAcentral.
GAGUUUGAACCUGGCUCAGGAUGAACGCUGGCGGCGUGCCUAAUACAUGCAAGUCGAGCGAACCACUUCGGUGGUGAGCGGCGAACGGGUGAGUAACACGUAGGUGAUCUGCCCAUCAGACGGGGACAACGAUUGGAAACGAUCGCUAAUACCGGAUAGGACGAAAGUUUAAAGGUGCUCCUGGCACCGCUGAUGGAUGAGCCUGCGGCGCAUUAGCUAGUUGGUAGGGUAAAGGCCUACCAAGGCGACGAUGCGUAGCCGACCUGAGAGGGUGAACGGCCACACUGGGACUGAGACACGGCCCAGACUCCUACGGGAGGCAGCAGUAGGGAAUCUUCGGCAAUGGGCGAAAGCCUGACCGAGCAACGCCGCGUGAAUGAUGAAGGCCUUCGGGUUGUAAAAUUCUGUUAUAAGGGAAGAACGACUUUAGUAGGAAAUGGCUAGAGUGUGACGGUACCUUAUGAGAAAGCCACGGCUAACUACGUGCCAGCAGCCGCGGUAAUACGUAGGUGGCGAGCGUUAUCCGGAAUUAUUGGGCGUAAAGAGCGCGCAGGUGGUUGAUUAAGUCUGAUGUGAAAGCCCACGGCUUAACCGUGGAGGGUCAUUGGAAACUGGUCGACUUGAGUGCAGAAGA